Molecule: long non-coding RNA, 2460 nt
Organism: Oncorhynchus keta (chum salmon)
Lineage: Eukaryota; Metazoa; Chordata; Actinopteri; Salmoniformes; Salmonidae
Exons: 2
Source: RefSeq, a predicted model, not a curated record
AUGCAUUUGUUCAGCACGUUGGGAGCCCACACCCAACACCACAUGUUCCAGAUUGAUUGCAAAAUAGAGGAUAUUAAGCCCUUCAUGAUGUGCUUAGCUUGAAUUAUUACUUUUUUUGUGGGAUCUCAUCUAAAAAGAAAGGGAACACUGUCACAACUUUGCUGUCAUAUGAAGGCAAAUGAAAUGAAGAAACUGAGAAGAUAUGCAGUUAUUGCACAAAAACUUUAGUUUAAUAUGGUUUUAUUAACUAUAAUGAGCAUGUCAAAAUUCCAAACAUCUUGUAAACCCUUGCACCCAAAAGAUUUAGCAUUCCAGAGAUAACAGCUUGCCUUUGGUACAUUCCUCUAGUAUAGAUGACACAAAAACAUCAACAUAGCUGGCUGUAAGGGGCGAGGUAGCCUACAUGAAGUACAUUAUAGGGGCAUUAUCACACAGAUUAAUCAAACCCCAAAUAAACACCCAUUUAAUCCAGACAGCUGUUGAGUCUGGGGGAGAUGUUAUUGUGGAUUACAGUCUGGGGUCUGAUUGAAGGACUGGUGAUGUCAUAGCUGACAUUCACUGGAGGGCAUGGGGCCAGCCCUGGAGUGGACCUCCUGAGGGAACACAUCUGGGUUCUAGAGCACUGACCGUGUUCCUCCCAGAACUCCCACCCACCAACAACGGACUAGAGGAGUGAGGUUCUGAGCCAAAUCUGGGCUGGACCCCUAAAAUGUCAGCUCUCCGAAGCAAAGACAGAGCAGCAUGAUGAUGUAGCCGGGCUAAACUAGGGUGGAUCUAAUCUCUAAUCUAAUGAAUGCGGACCCAACCCCAAUAGAGAAGCCCUUACUUACAGCCUCAAGAGAGAACAGACUCAUGUUGUAACAAAAUGUCAUUGUUUUUCUAUAGAUUAGAACAUAGCCCCGGGGGAUAGCCUUUACCUUGUGUGCUGAGGCUAUUUUCCCAAGUACGGUACUCAAGGGGACAUCUUUUGAGUAAAAACAUGUAUUAACAAUCACCUAAGAAAAACAAAUCAUGGCCUAAUCCUUGUGUCCACAGUGCCAUCCAUCUGUCUCACUCAGCGAGACAGUAUUUUGACACCCCUAAAAAAAUAUUCUCAAUAUUCAAAUUCACCCCUUUCACAUUAAAAGCGAGGAUUACAGGAUUACACAAACACAGUAUUUAUACCCUGAUUUGUGUUACACUGCAAGCAAGCCGUGUGAUGACAUGAUUGUUUAUAACUAGGUUGGUGUCGUAGACAGCCAAACAAAAACCUGGAUGAGACGGUUGUUUUCAUCCACCAGAGUAUGAGAAAUGAUCUGCAGUGAAUAACUGAAGUCGGAACACAGGUUUAACUAAACAAAUUAAUAUACAAAAACACAUCCCUAUUGUAUAAUUUGGCCGAGGGACAAGCGUCCAUGUUCACGCCCCAUAUCUAUGCAUUUAAGGCUGAGGGGGAAGCAAAGCUGUAGUCUAUAUCCCUUCCCUGCCACUGACAGGGCAAAAUGGUGUCAUAAUGGAGGGACAUUCAUGUGGAGAGAGCUCCAGUGUGCUGUGUUUAAACAGUAAUAGAGCCGGACUGCUCCCUAGAAGACCGCCCCUUACUCCUUUAUUCUCUGUGAAUGGCUGAGUGUUCCAAAUCUGAUACAACAAUCAGUCAUAACUGCCCAUUGUCCCGCUCUAAAUUCCCUUAUUCAGCUUCCAUUAGUGCAAUGAGGCGCGGAGACGGUUGCUCCCAAAGGGUCACUUGGUUCCAUAUGUGGGGUCCAUCUCAGCACAGGUGCACGGGGGUUCCCAAGGACAUAUAUUGCAGGUGUUGAAAAUCAGUACUUUCUGGUGGAUGUCAUUUUCAUGGACAGCAACUACUCAACGUUUUCCCAAACUAUACUAGCCUCCCUCCACAGCAACGAUCUGAACCUGAAUGAUGCCUGGGCAGUGGUCACAGAUAAUGCAUCCUUACUGCCUGAAGGCAUACAAGGUGGUUCUGAAAGGAGUGAUGCCCAACAGUGUCCAUGUAACCCGUCUCUGCCAUGUCAUCAAUCUGGUGGGUGAGACCAGGCAGCACUACAAAGAAAAAAGAAAGCGCCCCCUUUUCAGGACACUGUCUUUCAAAGAUAAUUUGUAAAAAUUGUGACGACCCUCCCACUCGGUCUGCCGUAUUCUUUACGUUUGCUAUUGUUUUCCGUAAAUAGGAUGUCGGUAGGCGGGGCUGGGAGGGUCAUCAGCGACAUGAGACACACCUGGGCCCGGGUGUGUCCCGGGAUAAAUACACCUCUUACCCAUUCAUUGAGGAGACUCUCUCCAUGCAGACACACUGACAUUUUUGUGGUCAUUUUAUUUGUUUGAUUCGUCACCUUUCAACACCCCUCAUUAUCACAUUUAUGCACGCAACCACUCACACUGGUGAUUAUUGACUACACACACACAUACAAAAUUGUUAAUUGUAUUUAGUUCAGUUAAUAAAUAUAUUUUGUUAUUCCUUAA